RNAcentral lists this ribosomal RNA (497 nucleotides) under uncultured bacterium. RNAcentral describes it as "partial 16S ribosomal RNA". It matches the Rfam family "Bacterial small subunit ribosomal RNA", at positions 28 to 507 of the family's 1533-position model. The record is from RNAcentral.
GAUGAACGCUGGCGGCGUGCCUAAUACAUGCCAGUCGAGCGAACAGACGAGGAGCUUGCUCCUCUGACGUUAGCGGCGGACGGGUGAGUAACACGUGGAUAACCUACCUAUAAGACUGGGAUAACUUCGGGAAACCGGAGCUAAUACCGGAUAAUAUAUUGAACCGCAUGGUUCAAUAGUGAAAGACGGUUUUGCUGUCACUUAUAGAUGGAUCCGCGCCGCAUUAGCUAGUUGGUAAGGUAACGGCUUACCAAGGCAACGAUGCGUAGCCGACCUGAGAGGGUGAUCGGCCACACUGGAACUGAGACACGGUCCAGACUCCUACGGGAGGCAGCAGUAGGGACUCCUACGCAAUGGGCGAAAGCCUGACGGAGCAACGCCGCGUGAGUGAUGAAGGUCUUCGGAUCGUAAAACUCUGUUAUUAGGGAAGAACAAAUGUGUAAGUAACUAUGCACGUCUUGACGGUACCUAAUCAGAAAGCCACGGCUAACUACGUG